UUGGGUUGACAAAAAAGUUUGUUUGGGUUUUCUGUAAGAUAUGAUGGAAAAAUCCGAACGAACUUUUUGGUCAGCCCAAU
This is a microRNA precursor of Bos taurus (domestic cattle), 80 nucleotides long. Lineage: Eukaryota; Metazoa; Chordata; Mammalia; Artiodactyla; Bovidae. The record is from Ensembl.